This 493-nucleotide long non-coding RNA is filed under the name Equus asinus (donkey). Its description in RNAcentral is "lncRNA (ENSEASG00005029027.1)". The record is from RNAcentral. Lineage: Eukaryota; Metazoa; Chordata; Mammalia; Perissodactyla; Equidae.
UGCAGAAGCUCGUGCAAGUCUGGCGGCCUUGAGCUCCACUGGGUCCUGUAUUGGGGGUGCGGAGGAGGUGCCGGACAGUCUUUCCCGAAGCCAAAGAAGCCUGCGCUUGGGGCGGCUGGGACCACGGAGAGACAGUCGGGAGGAGAGCGGGUCCUUUUGGUAUUUAUCAACACCUGACCUCGUUUUGCCUGUUCACUCGAGGGCCGGGAGCCCUCUAAGAGCAGAACUGGGUCUGCCUUGCUCCCUGCGGGGCCCCACCCCUGGGCACACCCUGCGGCCUGAAGAUGACACAGGUGUGCCUACAGCAGCAGCAACAGGAAGGUGGACUGGGAGAUGCCCACAAACUCCAGGUGUGACCCACGCGCCCCCUUACACCACCCAGCCUCAGUUCCCCAGUUUGUGAAAAGGGGCUGGAUGUGUUGUUUGGAUGACCGUUCCAGCUUUGACAGCUUGGUUCUGGACUCCUGAACAGAGGAGAUGACCUAGAGGACCU